GCAGCCGCCGCGGUAACACGUAGGUGGCAAGCGUUGUCCGGAAUUAUUGGGCGUAAAGGGCUCGCAGGCGGUUUCUUAAGUCUGAUGUGAAAGCCCCCGGCUCAACCGGGGAGGGUCAUUGGAAACUGGGAAACUUGAGUGCAGAAGAGGAGAGUGGAAUUCCACGUGUAGCGGUGAAAUGCGUAGAGAUGUGGAGGAACACCAGUGGCGAGGCGACUCUCUGGUCUGUAACUGACGCUGAGGAGCGAAAGCGUGGGGAGCGAACAGGAUUAGAUACCCCAGUAGUCCCUGUCUCUUAUACA
Molecule: ribosomal RNA, 302 nt
Filed under: uncultured bacterium
Lineage: Bacteria
Description: partial 16S ribosomal RNA
Rfam family: Bacterial small subunit ribosomal RNA
Source: RNAcentral